Molecule: non-coding RNA, 24 nt
Filed under: Cricetulus griseus (Chinese hamster)
Lineage: Eukaryota; Metazoa; Chordata; Mammalia; Rodentia; Cricetidae
Source: RNAcentral
UUGGAAAGAAGAGCAUGUGAUAAG